UACGUAGGGUGCAAGCGUUGUCCGGAAUUAUUGGGCGUAAAGAGCUCGUAGGCGGUCUGUCGCGUCUGCUGUGAAAACUCGGGGCUUAACCCCGGGCCUGCAGUGGGUACGGGCAGACUAGAGUGCGGUAGGGGAGACUGGAAUUCCUGGUGUAGCGGUGAAAUGCGCAGAUAUCAGGAGGAACACCGGUGGCGAAGGCGGGUCUCUGGGCCGUAACUGACGUUGAGGAGCGAAAGCGUGGGGAGCGAACAGG
RNAcentral lists this ribosomal RNA (253 nucleotides) under uncultured bacterium. RNAcentral describes it as "partial 16S ribosomal RNA". It matches the Rfam family "Bacterial small subunit ribosomal RNA", at positions 524 to 776 of the family's 1533-position model. The record is from RNAcentral.